This is a long non-coding RNA of Archocentrus centrarchus (flier cichlid), 3381 nucleotides long. RefSeq lists it as uncharacterized. The record is from RefSeq and is a predicted model, not a curated record. The transcript has 4 exons. NCBI's taxonomy places the organism in Eukaryota, Metazoa, Chordata, Actinopteri, Cichliformes, Cichlidae.
GAUGAAACUUUGUCCUUUUUUAACAUGCCAGUGUCCUAAAAGAAAGAAGAAACUAUUCCACCUCUUCAUAUUUGUACAAUUGUAACAAUACUAAUUUAAUGAGUAGGCCACUUGCUGACUGUCAGCGUGAAUUUAGGUAGUUUGGGCACGCAUGCGCAUCGGCAGUGCUCCAGGCGACCUGAUGGUCCGUCAAUUUUAGUUGUUUGUGGGAGAAGCUACGAAACAGAAAGGUGUCAGAAAGGAGCUGUCCCUGUGAGGCAGAGAGGAGGGAAAGGAGAAGAUUAGAGGAAGAAAAAAGACAAGGGUGUGUCCUCUCUCCCUGAUGACCUCGUGUGUGUAUCAUCUGUGUCCUCCUGUUCUUGGUCACAUUGUCUCACUUAGGUGUGUUUCCUGGUUCAGAGUUUCCCUGAGUAUUCCUAGUGGUUGACCUAUUAGCACCGGGAUACAACAAUUAAAUGAAAGUUAAACAUAACGGCUGCUGGUCUAAUGGUUGUGAAACAGAAGCUCCUCUGCUGAGUUUUGGAGAUGAAGAGGACCUCAGGAAGAAGCUGCUAUUGAUGUGUCUACAUAGGCAGGCAAAUUUAUAAGCGCUGAAAAUCUCUGACCCAGAUCUGGACUCCUGCCCUCCGAUCAGACAUCGUCCGGACCAGAAUGAUCGUUGGUGCAUCGAGAUGACAGAUGUUACAACUGCAGCCUGACGGGUCAUUGGUGAACUGAAUGUCCACAACUGGUGAAUGGAACGUGGACUAACCAGACUGUGUCACACUGAUCGGAGAGGAGGACUUCAGACAAGUCAGAUGAGGGCAAGUUGCUUGAUCAGCAGAGAAGGGAAGUCAGAUAACACCCACACACACACACACACACACACACCACUCACUCAUUACUGGCAUCUAACACACACACAGCACUAGCACAACCACCUGAACCACAAACGAAGAAGCAAAUGAUGGCCUUUUUAGGCCUGUGUAAUUAUUGCAGAGCAUGGAUCCCUUUGCGUGCAAGCAGUAUGUGCAGCAGCACUCGCUAUGUAGGCCUCCAGAGAACUGGUGCUUUUCCACUCACUUACACUUGAGGUGCUGCUCGUACAGAGUAAAAUGACAUUCUUAUCUCCAGCCAGACACCGGAGCUGCAUAGCGCUCCUGUUAUCGCAACCACACAUAACUAUAGAGGGCUGCAUCACUCUAAACCCAGCCACUCUGCUACCAACGCCACAUGACGGCGACCCUCAUGACUGCAAAGUGCUGACGGAACAAAACAGCAAGCCCAGCUUAGACUUGCAAGAUGAACCACUGGCGAAAGGCCACGUUGUGUUUGUGGACGGCUCAAGCGGGAAAAAUGAUAAAGCAAAACAGAAACGGGCUACGCUAUAGUCACCAAUACCACCAUAAUCAAAGCGGAGAAACUGCCCUCACACCUCUCUGCUCAAGCAGCCGAGUUAAUCGCAUUAACCGAAGCAUGCAAGCAUCAUGCAGGUAAAGAAGUCACGUUUUACACUGACAGCCAGUAUGCCUUUUCUGCUGUAUGUUCGUUUGCAGCACAGUGGGCGAGAAGGGGAAUGCUGACCUCUACAGGGAAGCCAGUAAAACAUGCUGAACUGUUUAAAAAAACCUAUUAACGGCCAUAAAACUACCAUCAGCCCUGGCCAUUUGUAAAUGCGCGGCACACAAAACAGGCACAGACUUGAUAGUAUUGGGAAACAGCUAUGCUGACAAAGCAGCAAAGCUGGCCGCAAGUGGUAAAUAUGGCACCUCAGCAAUUACACGACAAUUGUGGAACGCUUGUGACCCGAAGUGCUCCAUGAGAUGCAGCAGCAAGCAAAAUUGAAGUGGAACAACUUCCUAGGUCACUAUUCAAAACAGCAGCCAUAUUGAUACAUGCUUUAACACAUGUAUCAACAGGGGGGGAUAGUAAGUAAGACCUAUAUGUAUUGCUUAGUCGUAAAACCUAGGGGUACAGCUAAAAAAAUCACUGUUCUUAUCAUCCGCAAGAGCGUAGGACUCGUUGAAAGAACGAAUGGUACAGUAAAAAAAUAGACUAAGGAAAUGUAUGGCAGAAACGGGAAGGCCCUGGGUAGAAUGCAUAGACUUAGUAAAAACAUACAUGCAUGUGACCCCCAACAACACAGGGAUAACCCCCUAUUAGGCAUUGUUUGGCUGACCUUUUAGACUCCUGGUGUACACAGAAUAACAACAAGCAGAGGAAGAGACAGACUUGAGUGAUCGGAUGAGAAAGUUGUUCCAAAGCAAAAAUGUUGUUGAUACAAAUAAACUGCCGGAAGGCUCUUCUGCUUCUCCACAGGAACAUCCAGUAGCGGUGGGAGACUGGGUCCUGGUCAGAGUGAUCAAGAAGAAGUGCUGGAACCAACCCCAGUGGGACGGACCCUACAAAGUACCACUGACCACGCCAACUGCAGUCAAAAUAGCAGAGAGAUCCACGUGGAUCCACCUCAGCCAGUGCAAAAGGAUUGAGCCAACCAACGCUGAGUAGGGGAUGGAAGUCAGGGUACAAAGGGGGGGGGUGAGCCCUAGGCCACCUUCGUCUCAAACCCGUGAAGAAAACAACUGAAUCCCCCACUAAAUAGGGAUGGCUCGUUCACAUGCAAUGACCACGUGGAACUGGAUCUGCACCCUGGGCGCACUGAUGACCAUCGCGACUGCAACACAAGAGUUGAGCACCUUUCGUGCAAUGGUGAUGCAGAACAGAGUGGUUUUGGACUUGCUGGCCGCCCCGCAAGGAGGAGUAUACACCCUGCAGCAGUAUAUGGAACAGCAGACACCUGGAGGGAGUCAGGACUGGCUCUCUUGGCUGACUACUGGAGCUUGGUGGCAAGCCCUGCUGAAAGUCUUAGGGCCACCAGGGGUCAAUCUGUUACUGUUUUGUUUAUUUUUCAGUUGUAUUGUUCCAUGUUUAAGGAAAAUGAUGACGAAUGUUUUCCUUUCAGCUUUCUAUCAGUGUACCCUUGUGCAGGGUGGGCAGGAGGGUGAAACAGAAGACCAAAUAUGAAACCCCCAUUGAAAAUGAGAGACCAAGUGAUGGGGGUGGAUGUAAACUGGUUUUCAAACUAAUGUUUAAAAUUUGCAAAUGUAUGUAGGUGCUUCCCCGAGUGAGACGUACUAGCAGUGGCUGCCGUGAGCGGCGGGGCCGUUGAGGAAUUUUCCUGUCUUGAAAGAAUAGAAAGUGACUUUGGGUCAAAAGAAGGAUAGACAGCCGCAUGACAGGUUUUUCACCUCAACCUCAUUCAGGAUUGUAUGUGCUAUGUUCAUGAUAAACAGGGAGGAAUUGUUAGAAUAGAUAAACAUGUAACUGUUUUUCUAUGUAUCACAAUGUGUUCAUCAUAAACAUGCACAUGACCAUCAGAUUGUAAGCACAAAACAUACUCAC